This is a long non-coding RNA of Paramacrobiotus metropolitanus, 413 nucleotides long. RefSeq lists it as uncharacterized. The record is from RefSeq and is a predicted model, not a curated record. The transcript has 3 exons. Lineage: Eukaryota; Metazoa; Tardigrada; Eutardigrada; Parachela; Macrobiotidae.
GCUCAGAUCUUGGUGGCCGUCGGCAGCGACCUGGUUUCUGCACUUGCACUGGUGUUCCGAUGACGCCGGUGUGCCAAGGGUGUUCCGAUGACGCCGGUGUGCCAAGUCUGAUUGCUACGGCCCGAUGCGAAACGACUCAUCGUCGAUCGGAGAUUACCGACGCGAUUGAAGACGGCCGAAGCGCGUGUGUCCAGACCGCCUGACUCCGAAGUGGACGUAGCUAGACGGGUAUUAAUCGUGUCGGAUUUCUUACAGCCGUGGAAUCGGAAGCGGGGACCGAACCCCGGCUGCUGACCGUGAUGGGUCGAAAUUAACGUACCUUGGUUGUCUGUUCUGAACUGCAUACGCCGUACUGACCGUACGAAUGGACGGCUUGGUAGACGAGAAUGUGUAUGCCCAACCGGAAGUGUUGC